This 969-nucleotide long non-coding RNA is filed under the name Triticum aestivum (bread wheat). RNAcentral describes it as "long non-coding RNA (TAES_LNC025014)". Lineage: Eukaryota; Viridiplantae; Streptophyta; Magnoliopsida; Poales; Poaceae. The record is from RNAcentral.
AGAAGUAGCCUGGAUGACAUGAUUACUGAAGGUAAUUAUUAACUGGACAAGGUGUUGCACUGCUGCAUUAAAAUUGGACAUUUUCCAUUUGUCCACAUGUGAUGGAACGGUCUAGCCCUACCUAAAUUCAGUUUGUCAAACCUCAUGUAAAAUAUAUCUGUCUACACUCAUGCGCGAAGAAAGUUAUUAGCAUCAUAUUGAAUUCAAAUCUGCUAAUUAUCCCAGUUGCUCCAGAAGGCCCUCAACCAAAGCAUACUCUAGAAGCUGGAGACAUUCAGCAACAAUGUUUUCAUUGUAGGAUCUGUACAAGUAAUAGAUGUGUCAUUUGAUUAGAUAGAAAACGGAUUAAGAGUGUGUUGGAACAACCACAUAAUUUCCUUAUGUUUGCCCAUAUGGAUCUACCUUCCAAAAUUAACCUGAUGCAUAUACAUUUAGGACAACAUACAUGUAUCAUUACGACCACUUCAACAUAUGAAUAAAUACUUGGAUAUUGGAUUGGAUAUGUCACUUCAUGUGAACUAACCUGGCCAGCAGCCAUUCGGAUCCUUGGCUGAAGAACUCUGGAGCCAAAAAUCUCAUCAAUCAAGGGCUUGGACAACAGUACCUACAAAUUAGGAGUGGAAAGAAGCUUCAGCAGGAGCCCAAACUGAGUGCAAACACUCAGUCAUGAAGGGAUUGUAGUGAGAAGGAAAAUUUACAGUAAAUUUUCAAGAUGAAGGGGCAACCUAAUGGAGACGCGUAACUCCAGGGAUGUUUAUUGCCGGAGGAAGAAUGGGGAAAUAACUUGGGUGACUGGACAGAGCAUAUGUAGGCGGAGCAGCCAAGCUGUACCUGACCUCCACUCCAUUAAUGGCCUGUAGGAUUAGGAACGGCUGGUCUACUCCUUGCGUUAACAACGGCGGGUGAAUUCCAAUCGCGCACAACAUAGAAACUGACAAUUCAACUCCAUUAACUGCUCUUAAUGGCCAG